CAGAUUCACUGUGAUGAAAUGCAGAGGUAUUGGAUAAUCAGCGUGUAUCAAACAGCUUUGGAUUGUUUUACCUGCAUUCUGCCUGUUCCUUCCGCCUGUUUAUUUAUAACAUGUCUGCACUUCUGUGGGAUUCCAUGAAAAAAGUCAUAGUAGCAACAAAGAUUUCACUGGUCCCCCCAGUGUGCACCAAACUGCCCCUGGCUUGGAGUGCAGGAUGAACACCUUCCUGCAGUGCAGACAGCCCUGUCCUUGCAGAGUAUGGACUAGGGACAGAUUGCAGCUUUUUGGUGUAACCCUCACGAAGCUGAACUUUCCAGCAUUGAAACCAAGAGCCAAAGAAGCCCAGCAGAGGAAAGGAGGAGAAGAACACAUGAAAGGCUGUAAGGUUGAUUCUACCACUGAUGGUCUGUUUUUCUCUACCUGGACACCCAGGAAAAGACAGCCCUGCAUCACUUCAGA
This 459-nucleotide long non-coding RNA is filed under the name Manacus vitellinus (golden-collared manakin). RNAcentral's name for it is "lncRNA (ENSMVIG00005006685.1)". Lineage: Eukaryota; Metazoa; Chordata; Aves; Passeriformes; Pipridae. The record is from RNAcentral.